This is a long non-coding RNA of Arvicanthis niloticus (Nile rat), 1747 nucleotides long. RefSeq lists it as uncharacterized. The record is from RefSeq and is a predicted model, not a curated record. Lineage: Eukaryota; Metazoa; Chordata; Mammalia; Rodentia; Muridae.
CUCUGAGACCAGACCAGCAGAAACCAGCUGAGCUUCCUGGAAGAGAUUUAGACCAAUUAGACCCACGGAGUCAAUUGGAAGAUACACUAUCCUGUCUAUUGAGCUGCCUGCAGGCAAUGCAGUGUGUUCCAGUUUCCUGCUUUUGCAAUUGCUGCAGCACCCCAAAGAGUAGGCUGGUUACUCAGAGAAGAAGAAGAGCAGGUUGUUACAGAGCAGAUCUGGCAACUCUCUCACUUUACCACUCUGUGAGAAGGACUCUGCUAGCAAAAAGUCAUCAUUAGAUGGAGCUCCUCUUCUGUUGAGAACAACCCUGAGGGGCCACAGGAGAGUCUCACACCCAAGGAAACUUGAGAAGCACCCCAUCAGGGUGUCUACAAGCAUCUGAAAAGUACUGGAGAUAAAAUGAUGAUCCCACUGCCAGGUCAAACGUCAUGGAGAAGUUGGCAUCUUAGAGGAUAUGGAGAUGCAGAGAGCAAAGCUCUACCCUUCACUAACCAUGAAGAAGCUGAGGGGGCAAGGGAAAUUCAGAGGGGUAAAGGAAUAGAAUAAUGAUAUUCUGUGUCUCCCAUUCUACUAGAGAUGGCACACACAUUUGUUUAAUUGAUGCAUUGUUGCUUUUAUAUGUGGGCACUUGCCUAGGCAGUCACUGAUGGGCACUUUGGUUCACACUACCCAGAGUUUUCACUCAACCAAGGAAACAGGCUACCUGGAGGCUAUAGAAAGUCUAGAGGUACCAGGUGGCUGAGGCUCAAUGCAGCCGUGGAUACAAUCUUUUCACUACCCUGGACUGCGUGGCUCUGGAAAGGUCAGGUAGAAUCGGUGAGCAUUUGUUUGCCUCUUCAGUGAAACAUCAGAUGCUUUUGUCUCAGCGGGUACUGUGUCUCACUCUGGAACAGACAUUUGCAAAUCAUCUCACUUUGUUAGUCUAGAAGGAAAAUCACAGAUAAGGUGCCCAUAGGAAUACUUGUAAAAGACCUCUUUGGCCAAGCAUGAUGGCUCAUACCUGUAAUCCCAGUUCCUUGGUGAGUGAGGCAAGGGGAUUACCUAGAGUUCAAGGUCAGCCUGGGCUACAGGGUAAAUUCUAAGCCAAUCUGGACUGUGGGGUAGGACCCUGUUUCAAAAUAACAACAGACUACUCUGACCCCUUACCUAUGAGUUAAAUGGAAAACUGAAAAGACAGUAGACUGUAAUAAAAUAUGUGUUUUAAUAUGUAGACAACUGUUCACCAUGUCUUCUGUUUUCAAUGUGCUAGUGCUUUGAACAACUGGAGACCUGCUGACCCUGGAGGGAUGACCCUUCACUGAGUCAAUCAAUUUCUGGACCUAGGAAACCAGUUGCUAAGGAGCCAAGCAAGCUUUUUGUAUCCAAAGCACUCACAUUCCGACCAUUCCUGAGCCACUGUGCAUCUAGUCCUCACCAAACAAGACCAAGGAUCAUUCAGCUGGUGACAGUUUCAUGCCCCAGAGCCUGUCAACAGAGUCCACACUAGCAGAUCCUGAACCUGUGCAUCUUGCCUUUCCUGUUUCUCUCCACAGAAACCAUAGUGAAGGCUGAAGCCCCAAGUCCCUUCCCUCCGUUUCAUGAAUUAGCCUAGUGACAUUGUGCCAACCCUCCUUCUAUAGAUUACAAUAACAAAGGCUCUUUCAGGUAGUCAUGUGAUCUGGUAUCCUCUCUAUAAUCACCAAUUUUCUCAUACUUUUUUUCAUAUUCAUUUAUUUAUUUGUAUUCGUGUGUGUGUGUGUGUGUG